GGCACAGCCUCCUCCGAUGGUAUCGACUAGGAACUCGCCCAGCCCCAGCACGACGGAGACGUCCUCCAUGACGCCGCGCUGCAAAAGCCUUAGUGGUGGAAAUUCAUCCAGGCAGCAACAUUUGGUAAAGAAGGUGUCUUGUAAAGAAGUGGUUAUUGGAGCCCUACAUGGCCCAUCCUCGUGCGGCUCCGCAGCUCGCAUAGUCUAUCACCAACUGGCUCGGGUGGCGCGGCUUGCCUCUGGUAAAGAAGAAAAGACCCAUACCUGAAGUAAUUAAUUUGUCCUUGUGCUCGCCCUUGCCAGCUCACUGUCUCCCCAGGCAUGCUGCUGAUCUGACCUGCAGUAGAGCUGAUGCUCCAAAUGCCUCCGCGUGUCCGAAACUCAUGUUGUUGUUCCAGUGGUGGCGUUGGUGCCCUCCGUUGGUGUUCCGGUGGGGGGUGCCCUCAGGUGUCGUGGUGGUGGUGGUGUCAACCGGAGCUCCUGCUGAUGACCACGGGAGCUGCUGUUGGUGCUGCCGGCAUCCAGUACAAGCUACUGCCCCUGCCUUCUUCAACCUGGACAUCUCCUAUAUCACAAUGCCCCCUCGGAAGCACACCACGGUCGAGGCUGCAGCUGCCUCCUCCUCUCCCCAACGCAUUCCCCUCCAAUCUCCCCACCCAGCACACCACGACCACGAACGAGCCGGCCGAGCACCCCUCUCUAUUCCACGCCGAGGAACAGCCAGUCCGCAACACCACCUCCAGCCCUAGCCAGAGUUCAAGCCGAGGCCUUUG
This is a long non-coding RNA of Lolium rigidum, 773 nucleotides long. RefSeq lists it as uncharacterized. The record is from RefSeq and is a predicted model, not a curated record. Lineage: Eukaryota; Viridiplantae; Streptophyta; Magnoliopsida; Poales; Poaceae. The transcript is spliced from 5 exons.